This 190-nucleotide small nuclear RNA is filed under the name Echeneis naucrates (live sharksucker). RNAcentral's name for it is "U2 spliceosomal RNA (ENSENLG00000000082.1)". It matches the Rfam family "U2 spliceosomal RNA". Rfam says of the family: U2 is a small nuclear RNA (snRNA) component of the spliceosome (involved in pre-mRNA splicing). Complementary binding between U2 snRNA (in an area lying towards the 5' end but 3' to hairpin I) and the branchpoint sequence (BPS) of the intron results the bulging out of an unpaired adenosine, on the BPS, which initiates a nucleophilic attack at the intronic 5' splice site, thus starting the first of two transesterification reactions that mediate splicing. The record is from Rfam by way of RNAcentral. Lineage: Eukaryota; Metazoa; Chordata; Actinopteri; Carangiformes; Echeneidae.
AUCGCUUCUCGGCCUUUGGCUAAGAUCAAGUGUAGUAUCUGUUCUUAUCAGUUUAAUAUCUGAUACGUCCCCUACCCGGGGACCAUAUAUUAAAUAGAUUUUUGGAACAGGGAGAUGGAAUAGGGGCUUGCUCCGUCCACUCCACGCAUCGACCUGGUAUUGCAGUAUCUCCAGGAACGGUGCACUCCCU